GUGGGUCCCAGUACCUGGUCCAGGAGGCAGCGUCUCCCUCCCGUCCGGGAUAAGACACCCCCUCCGCGGGUCCCCUGUCCACUCUGGAGAGGCAGCCCCCACUUGGAGGGACCAGGACCCGAGCCCUGCCCAUCCCCGAAUCCUGGGAGCCCUGCGUGGGGAGUGUCGAGGGCCUGGGUCGGGGGGCAAACUAGUGUGGAGCCAACUUUAAUGGAGGACCUAGCAAGUGCCAGGCAGCAUUCUGAGCCCUGGAAUCCGGUGAUGAACAUGACAGACAAGAUUCCUGCCCCCAAGGAGCUGCACCUUAAUAAGUCCCGCAAUGAAGGAGACAGAACAUAAACAGAGGAAAAUACACAAGAUGCCAGCUUGUGAGAAGUGCUAGCAAAAAAAGACACAAGUAUGUCCAGAGAGUCUGAGGUGUAUACAGUAGUUACUGGCACCCACUAUGUACCAGCCACUGUGCUGGGCACGGAUGGACACACAUCAGCCCCUGCCCGCAUGGUGGAACAGGGAUAUGGGAGAGAAAGACAACAAACAACUCGGUGUACAAAUAGUCAACUACAGUGGAAAAGCAAAGAUUAAAUCCUCAUACCUCUCUGGAAAAGUGGAGGGGACCACAUUCCAGCAUCUGGUGCCUUGUUUGCCCCAAACAUGACUUCAAGUGAAUCGACAUAAUACUCUUCCAGAGGGAAAGCAGAACCAUCUGCAGGGCUGAGGGACCAAGAAACACAGUGAGGAAUUCCACAGGAGGCCCACGCGGAGGGAUGUGACACCCCAGGUGGACUCUAGGGGACGCUCACUUGGAACUUGCAUCACCCGGAACUGUGUCUGCCACUGUGACUUCAGAGCAGCACAGACCUGAGGUGGAUCCAGCAAUGCCCACAACUGUCCAACAAUUUCACUUUUCCGAGGCUCAGUUUCCAUGUGGAAAAUGGACUGGCUCUGAGUAUUAAAUGAGGAUGAAUGUCCAUAUGCCUCACCCCUUUCUUCAUGAAAGGAAGACACCUCUGGGACUCAGACAAAUGGCCAAUAACAUCUAGUCUUUAUUCAGUCCUAACUGCAUGACAAUACAACUAGCGUAACAGUCAUCAACAUAAGGAAUGCUCUCAAUAUUGCUCGAUGCCCUGUGUGCUAUCACUAAUAGCAACAACUGCUGUUCAUCUAUGCCACGAUAUGCACCAAAUCUACACCACUCCUUUAAGGUGUCACUGUCUCCAUUCCACAGAUGAGAAAACAGCCUCCAGAAGAGGAAAGUGUAGAUGAGUUAAUUUUUCCCUGCCCAACGUUGAUUCCCAUUCCUUCUGAUCAUGGUGCCCUGACUUCUUUGGGAGAACUCCCUCUUCUCUGUGACGGGCUGACUGGUGGGAUUAUCAGUCAAGGUGCCCACCUCCUCUAGCUCUCCCCAUCUCUCUCAGUCUCUGGAGUUUCUGUUUCAAGCAUAAGGACAGAAGAUUAGAAA
Molecule: long non-coding RNA, 1459 nt
Organism: Homo sapiens (human)
Lineage: Eukaryota; Metazoa; Chordata; Mammalia; Primates; Hominidae
Product: long intergenic non-protein coding RNA 2292
Source: Ensembl